GACGAACGCUGGCGGCGUGCUUAACACAUGCAAGUCGAACGGGUCUGCCCUGUUUUUUGCGGGGUGGGUCAGUGGCGAACGGGUGAGUAACACGUGAGUAACCUGCCCCUCACUUCUGGAUAACCGCUUGAAAGGGUGGCUAAUACGGGGUGUUCUGGCUGUGCCGCAUGGUGUGGCUGGGAAAGAUUCACUUUUGUGGUGUUUUGGUGGGGGAUGGGCUCGCGGCCUAUCAGCUUGUUGGAGGGGUGAUGGCCUGCCAAGGCUUUGACGGGUAGCCGGCCUGAGAGGGUGGGCGGCCCCACUGGGACUGCGAUACGGCCCAGACUCCUGCGGGAGGCAGCAGGGGGGGGUCUUGCACAAUGGGCGGAAGCCUGAUGCAGCGCCGUCGCGUGAGGGAUGGAGGCCUUCGGGUUGUGAACCUCUUUCGCCGGUGAAGAAGGUCCUGCUCUUUGUGGUGGGGUUGACGGUAGCCGGGUUAUGAAGCGCCGGCUAACUACGUG
Molecule: ribosomal RNA, 500 nt
Filed under: uncultured bacterium
Lineage: Bacteria
Description: partial 16S ribosomal RNA
Rfam family: Bacterial small subunit ribosomal RNA
Source: RNAcentral